RNAcentral lists this ribosomal RNA (497 nucleotides) under uncultured bacterium. RNAcentral's name for it is "partial 16S ribosomal RNA". It matches the Rfam family "Bacterial small subunit ribosomal RNA", at positions 28 to 507 of the family's 1533-position model. The record is from RNAcentral.
GAUGAACGCUGGCGGCGUGCCUAAUACAUGCAAGUCGAGCGAACAGACGAGGAGCUUGCUCCUCUGACGUUAGCGGCGGACGGGUGAGUAACACGUGGAUAACCUACCUAUAAGACUGGGAUAACUUCGGGAAACCGGAGCUAAUACCGGAUAAUAUAUUGAACCGCAUGGUUCAAUAGUGAAAGACGGUUUUGCUGUCACUUCUAGAUGGAUCCGCGCCGCAUUAGCUAGUUGGUAAGGUAACGGCUUACCAAGGCAACGAUGCGUAGCCGACCUGAGAGGCUGAUCGGCCACACUGGAACUGAGACACGGUCCAGACUCCUACGGGAGGCAGCAGUAGGGAAUCUUCCGCAAUGGGCGAAAGCCUGACGGAGCAACGCCGCGUGAGUGAUGAAGGUCUUCGGAUCGUAAAACUCUGUUAUUAGGGAAGAACAAAUGUGUAAGUAACUAUGCACGUCUUGACGGUACCUAAUCAGAAAGCCACGGCUAACUACGUG